AUUUAAAGUCAGAUUUGGGUUACGCUCUGACUUCUUCCACUUAUAAGCUUGGACAAGUCUCUUAAUUUUCUCAUCUGUAAAGCAGGUAACAAUGGUACCUACCAUACAGUCUGCUAUCAGAAUAUAGUGAAAUAACUAUGUGAAGUGCUUAGAACAAGGCCGGUUGAGCUUUUGAUUCAAGUAAUGUAAGCUCUAUAUAUAAAUAUUAAAGGUCAUUGACACCUAAUGGUUUUAAGCUCUUUAUCCCGCUGUUGGCUAUAUUGCUUUCUUUAAAGCAUUUCUGAUAUUAUAGGGUCAGUCAAGAAAUAAAAUGCUCUUAGACCAUAAAAAUUUUGCAAGCACACACCCAUUCUAAGACCACAUCAGUUGUGCCAAAAGAAAAAGGGGGGAACACCUGGGAUGCUCAGACAGUUAAGUGCCUGACUUUGGCUCAGAUCACGAUCUAGCAGUUUGUGAGUUUGAGCCCUGAUAGGACCAUCUGCAGAGCAUGCUUGCGAUUCACUCUCUCCCCUUUCUCUCUGCCCCUCCUCUACUUGCUGUCUCUCAAAAUAAGUAAAAAAAAAUUUUAAAGAUAAAGAAAGAAAGAAAAAAAGAAAGAAAGAAAGAAAGAAAGAAAGAAAGAAAGAAAGAAAAAAGAAAAAGAAAAGGAAAAGCUACCUACAGAGCAUUACAACCUACUCUCAUGGUUUCUUGCCCUUCAAGUCUGUGGAGGAGAGAGCAACGUGUUUUUUCAUUUGACUUCUCCUAGCUCCUUAGCAAAGAAUUUAAAUUCCUUCCUCCAUGUUUUGGCAUCCUCAUUCCAGGUUUUUGGAAGCUUCGGACAGAGCACGGGUGAAGAGAUGGGGAUGGCAUGGAGGAACCUUCCAGAUCAUAGAAGGCCCUCGUUACCCAGACUCUCUGUGGCUGAUUACUGCAGACUCUUUCAUCAAGACUCCAGGACCCAGGGAGGCCGUGGCUAUGCAUCUCCUUUGAGGAAGGGCUUGGCAUUAAAGAAUCCUCAUAGCCCAUUUGACCCAGUUAUCUUGCCCUGGUGGUCAGAGAACAUCUUUACCUUAAACUCUACCUCUCCGAGUCCUGUUAGACACUAAUGCCAUCUCUCUAAAUUGCAUUCAGAGCCUGUCAGUCAUACUGGAUUCAGAUUUAAAGCUCAUAUUAAUGAAAAUUUUAUUUUAAGAAUUGGAACAGGAGAAAUAACAUAUGCUUGCACUAAUGGGAGAAAACAAUAGCAAUUGCAUCUGCACGUUAUGGUUGGGUCUCAGAUUCAAUGAACUCUGGAAUGAGAUGGAAAAUAUAAUAAGCAUGAUUCUGAAAAUUGAAUAAUCAGCAUUCCAUGUGGUUCCAAUUGUAAUGGAUGGAAAAACAUAAGCAAAAUAAAAGGAUUGUUUGCUCUUAAACUUUUCUGAGC
RNAcentral lists this long non-coding RNA (1405 nucleotides) under Felis catus (domestic cat). RNAcentral's name for it is "lncRNA (ENSFCAG00000042414.2)". Lineage: Eukaryota; Metazoa; Chordata; Mammalia; Carnivora; Felidae. The record is from RNAcentral.